This 358-nucleotide long non-coding RNA is filed under the name Marmota monax (woodchuck). Lineage: Eukaryota; Metazoa; Chordata; Mammalia; Rodentia; Sciuridae. The record is from RNAcentral.
GCAAAGACCAGAUAGGUGGAUAAAGUUCUUUCUUUCUUCAAUCCUUAGAGGAAGCUCCACAGAGCCAGGGCUGAAGAAGUAACUGUGAAGCUCAGGCCCAUCAGAGGCAAAUCUCACCAGUUCCCUCCUCUCUACUUCAAACCACCGAGAGAUGCCAGGCAAGCUGUGGGUCAGGGUCAGCGUGGUGCGCUCAAUCCACAGGCUCUGUAGGAAGGGUACAGACAGGUUUAGGCAGUUGGGCAAGGCUUGGCAUUCCCUACCUACAUGAGGGAUGCAACAGUGGUGAGUUGCCAAGAAAAUGGGGCUUUCCCCUGGAUCUGCUAUAAAUACUGCCACUGCUUUCCUAGUUUGUUCACCU